This 465-nucleotide ribosomal RNA is filed under the name Vreelandella stevensii. RNAcentral's name for it is "partial 16S ribosomal RNA". It matches the Rfam family "Bacterial small subunit ribosomal RNA", at positions 338 to 795 of the family's 1533-position model. Lineage: Bacteria; Pseudomonadati; Pseudomonadota; Gammaproteobacteria; Oceanospirillales; Halomonadaceae. The record is from RNAcentral.
CCUACGGGGCGCUGCAGUGGGGAAUAUUGGACAAUGGGCGAAAGCCUGAUCCAGCCAUGCCGCGUGUGUGAAGAAGGCCUUCGGGUUGUAAAGCACUUUCAGUGGGGAAGAAAGCCUUGGGGCUAAUACCCUCGAGGAAGGACAUCACCCACAGAAGAAGCACCGGCUAACUCCGUGCCAGCAGCCGCGGUAAUACGGAGGGUGCGAGCGUUAAUCGGAAUUACUGGGCGUAAAGCGCGCGUAGGCGGUCUGAUAAGCCGGUUGUGAAAGCCCCGGGCUCAACCUGGGAACGGCAUCCGGAACUGUCAGGCUAGAGUGCAGGAGAGGAAGGUAGAAUUCCCGGUGUAGCGGUGAAAUGCGUAGAGAUCGGGAGGAAUACCAGUGGCGAAGGCGGCCUUCUGGACUGACACUGACGCUGAGGUGCGAAAGCGUGGGUAGCAAACAGGAUUAGAUACCCCUGUAGUC